Molecule: long non-coding RNA, 772 nt
Organism: Syngnathus acus (greater pipefish)
Lineage: Eukaryota; Metazoa; Chordata; Actinopteri; Syngnathiformes; Syngnathidae
Exons: 3
Source: RefSeq, a predicted model, not a curated record
UGUCUUUGUACUUUCAUGAAGUAUUUCCUUCCAAACUUCCAGUUUUGUAACUCAUAAUGAAAGCAUUUCCUCCUCGCAGUGUCCUGCAGGAGAGGCCGUGCUCAAUGAGGUGCAGCUGCCUUGUCAGCGCUGUACCAAUAAGGUGGGAGGGAAACAAGGAGGACGCCAGAUGGCAAUAACACUUAGUGCUCUUCAUUGAAGAUACCUAUCGAAUACGUCUCUAAGUGCAGCAUUAAAGAAGUGGUGACUAAUUGAGGGCUGAUGAGCCAAGCUCACUUCAAAAGUAGUGAUUAAUAAUGAAUCAGCUUAUAACUGUCCACCUCAGAAUGAGUCACGGGGGGUUUAUUUGAUUAUAAAUAAAAUGAAAAAUAAACCAUUUUUUUACACACCAGCUUAAGUAGUGACCGGCUAACAAGGGAAGGGGCAUCAGCCAUAUUUUUUAACACAGUGGCUGGCAUGUGGCAAGCGGCGAGGGCUAGGAAACAGCUGAUGACGAAGGAUUAGGACCGACUUGGUGGAAUGGGGCCGACCGCAUCAGAGGAGCGCAUACAUACCGGGAGUUUGAUGCACACUGAGAAACAUCCUAGAAGCCAGAGCUCUGCGCUCCAAAGUAAAUUCCAAACAGUCACGGGGGAAAGGAGCAGAUGCAUGCCAGCAUAAUAAAUCCUCCGCUUCGUAUCAAAAAGGUCAUCUGCAUACACAAGAUUGAUGUGCGCAGCGUUCAGGUGCUGAACAUCUGUCUGAUCGCAGUGAAUCAAAAACGUGCAUGCCG